GCCACGCCGCGGGAUCUGAUGGAUUUAUUAUAAAUUAGUAUUCAUCGCUCAACCCGACAAAAGAUCUUUUGGACGUGGAAAUUAAACUCGAUGUAAGUGAAAAAAAAAAAACUCAUUACCCCAAAUUAAAUAUUGUUGGUGGUUAGGCUGAUUUUUCUCAGUGUAAUAAAAGCUUUACCUGAAAGAUUUUUAUCUCCCAUACGGUAAAAUCGAACCACGCGGUUUGCAAUUAAAAUACCGAACAACGGUACACUGAAAGAAAAGAAAAAAAAAAAAACGAAAAUUUUUCUGGCACGUGCUGGCUAACAGUUGAUUAUUUAUAUAUAUUUUCCUUUUUUUUUAUUCCCAAUAUUUAAUAAUGGCCUUCCGCAAUGACAACAAAGAAAAAUGAAUUACAUUUUUUUUUCUUAAAUUAAUUAAUAAAUAUUUAAUAAAAAUUAAUGGAAUCUUGGAACAUUAUUUUUAAUGCUCUUGCCGUGUUCCAACAUUAAAAA
Long non-coding RNA from Drosophila ananassae, 494 nucleotides. RefSeq lists it as uncharacterized. NCBI's taxonomy places the organism in Eukaryota, Metazoa, Arthropoda, Insecta, Diptera, Drosophilidae. The transcript is spliced from 2 exons. The record is from RefSeq and is a predicted model, not a curated record.